This 241-nucleotide ribosomal RNA is filed under the name uncultured bacterium. RNAcentral's name for it is "partial 16S ribosomal RNA". It matches the Rfam family "Bacterial small subunit ribosomal RNA", at positions 16 to 239 of the family's 1533-position model. The record is from RNAcentral.
GACAUGGCUCAGGACGAACGCUGGCGGCGCGCCUAACACAUGCAAGUCGAACGGAGAUUACAGGCGGAAGUUUUCGGAUGGAAGCUUGUAAACUUAGUGGCGGACGGGUGAGUAACACGUGAGCAACCUGCCUAUCAGAGGGGGAUAACGAUUGGAAACGAUCGCUAAUACCGCAUGACAUAGCGGAACCGCAUGGUUUUGUUAUCAAAGAUUUUAUCGCUGAUAGAUGGGCUCGCGUCCG